AUUGAACGCUGGCGGCAGGCCUAACACAUGCAAGUCGAACGAAGUGGCGAACGGGUGAGUAACGCGUAAUCAACCUGCCCUUCAGGGGGGGACAACAGUUGGAACCGACUGCUAAUCCCGCAUACUGAUGGGGGGGAUUGCGUCUGAUUGGCUCGUUGGAGGGGUAACGUCCCACCAAGGCGAUGUCCAGUAGCCGGUCUUGGAGGAUGACCGGCCACAUUGGAACUGAGACACGGCCCAGACUCCUACGGGAGGCAGCAGGGGGGAAUAUUGGACAAUGGGCGAAAGCCUGAUCCAGCCAUGCCGCGUGUAUGAAGAAGGUCUUCGGAUUGUAAAGUACUUUAAGUUGGGAGGCGUUACCAACAGAAGAAGCACCGGCUAACUCCGUGCCAGCAGCCGCGGUAAUUC
Molecule: ribosomal RNA, 408 nt
Filed under: uncultured bacterium
Lineage: Bacteria
Description: partial 16S ribosomal RNA
Rfam family: Bacterial small subunit ribosomal RNA
Source: RNAcentral